UAAGACGAAGGAUCCAAGCGUUGUCCGGAUUUACUGGGUUUAAAGGGUGCGUAGGCGGAAAAUUAAGUCAGUGGUGAAAGCCCGCAGCUCAACUGUGGAACUGCCAUUGAAACUGGUUUUCUUGAAUAUAGCUGAGGCAGAUGGAAUAUAACAUGUAGCGGUGAAAUGCUUAGAUAUGUUAUAGAACACCGAUUGCGAAGGCAGUCUGCUAAACUAUUAUUGACGCUGAGGCACGAAAGCGUGGGAGCGAACAGGAUUAGAUACCCUGGUAGUCCACGCCCUAAACGUUGAUUACUCGCUGUUGGCGAUAUACUGUCAGUGGCUAAGCGAAAGCGUUAAGUAAACCACCUGGGGAGUACGUUCGCAAGAAUGAAACUCAAAGGAAUUGACGGGGUCCGCACAAGCGGUGGAGCAUGUGGUUUAAUUCGAUGAUACGCGAGGAACCUUACCUGGGCUAGAAUGCGAGUGCCUGUGUGUGAAAGCAUACAUUCCUUC
This 495-nucleotide ribosomal RNA is filed under the name uncultured Marinoscillum sp. RNAcentral describes it as "bacterial SSU rRNA". It matches the Rfam family "Bacterial small subunit ribosomal RNA", at positions 521 to 1020 of the family's 1533-position model. The record is from RNAcentral. Lineage: Bacteria; Pseudomonadati; Bacteroidota; Cytophagia; Cytophagales; Reichenbachiellaceae.